GUAGCUGGUCUGAGAGGAUGACCAGCCACACUGGAACUGAGACACGGYCCAGACUCCUACGGGAGGCAGCAGUGGGGAAUAUUGGACAAUGGGGGCAACCCUGAUCCAGCAAUGCCGCGUGUGUGAAGAAGGCCUGAGGGUUGUAAAGCACUUUCAGUGGGGAGGAGGAUUGAUWGGUUAAGAGCUGAUUAAUUGGACGUUACCCACAGAAGAAGCACCGGCUAACUCCGUGCCAGCAGCCGCGGUAAUACGGAGGGUGCRAGCGUUAAUCGGAAUUACUGGGCGUAAAGGGUGCGUAGGUGGUUAAUUAAGUUAUCUGUGAAAUYCCUGGGCUUAACCUGGGACGGUCAGAUAAWACUGGUUGACUCGAGUAUGG
Molecule: ribosomal RNA, 376 nt
Filed under: uncultured Legionella sp.
Lineage: Bacteria; Pseudomonadati; Pseudomonadota; Gammaproteobacteria; Legionellales; Legionellaceae
Description: bacterial SSU rRNA
Rfam family: Bacterial small subunit ribosomal RNA
Source: RNAcentral